GGGUCUGUGAGAUGAACAAGAAGAGGAAGAUGUCACUGCACAUCUUUGACUUGACUGGAUGCAGACAGACUACUCCAUCCCUAUAUUCAGUACAGUAGAGUGCAGGAGCGUUCUCAUCUGCCUUCCUAUCCUCUCUAUGAGGUUUCUCUCCCCUUUCUCUGCCUUCUAGUAGAACAGAGGAGAAAACUGCGAACUCUCCCUGCAGAACCAGCUCCUGGAGAAGAACCAAGUGUGGUGUGGUCUUGUCAGCCUGUUACCUAAGCAAGAGUAACAAGAUCAUGUGGGACUUACCAGGGUCUCGGUCAUUGUUCUGCACACACAACCACAGACAGUACAACAGCAGCCUCCAGACCCUUGUUGCUGACCUUUGAGGACGCUGGGCAUCUAAGGCGAUGAAAGGAGACAGAGACAGAGACCCACACUGGAGUACCGGACUGAAAUCUCAAGGUCCAAAUCAGGAGCAGAAGGAGAGAGAGCACGAGCAAGGAACUCAGGACCACGAGGGGUGCACCCACACACUGAGACAAUGGGGAUGUUCUAUCAGGAACUCACGAAGGUCAGCUGGCCCCGGUCUAAAGAAGCAUGGGAUAAAACUGGACUCGCUGAACAUAGCAGACAAUGAGGACUACUGAGAACUCAAGAACAAUGGCAAUGGGUUUUUGAUCCUACUGCACGUACUGGCUUUGUGGGAGCCUAGGCAGUUUGGAUGCUCACCUUACUGGACCUGGAUGGAGGUGGGUGGUCCUUGGACUUCCCACAGGGCAG
Long non-coding RNA from Chionomys nivalis (European snow vole), 765 nucleotides. RefSeq lists it as uncharacterized. Lineage: Eukaryota; Metazoa; Chordata; Mammalia; Rodentia; Cricetidae. The transcript is spliced from 3 exons. The record is from RefSeq and is a predicted model, not a curated record.